AGUGUCGUCCAGCUCGUCGCU
Molecule: microRNA, 21 nt
Filed under: Oreochromis niloticus (Nile tilapia)
Lineage: Eukaryota; Metazoa; Chordata; Actinopteri; Cichliformes; Cichlidae
Description: oni-miR-10758
Source: miRBase by way of RNAcentral